RNAcentral lists this ribosomal RNA (247 nucleotides) under uncultured bacterium. RNAcentral describes it as "partial small subunit ribosomal RNA". It matches the Rfam family "Bacterial small subunit ribosomal RNA", at positions 26 to 285 of the family's 1533-position model. The record is from RNAcentral.
AGAAUCAACGCUGGCGGCGUGCCCAACACAUGCAAGUCGCACGAGAAAGCGGGAGCAAUCCUGUGAGUAAAGUGGCGUACGGGUGAGUAACACGUGAAUCAUCUACCUUCGAGUGUGGAAUAACUGAGAGAAAUCUUAGCUAAUACCGCAUAAUACCUACGGGUCAAAGCAGCAAUGCGCUUGAAGAGGAGUUCGCGGCAGAUUAGUUAGUUGGCGGGGUAAUGGCCCACCAAGACGAUGAUCGGUA